Molecule: long non-coding RNA, 1795 nt
Organism: Erpetoichthys calabaricus (reedfish)
Lineage: Eukaryota; Metazoa; Chordata; Cladistia; Polypteriformes; Polypteridae
Exons: 3
Source: RefSeq, a predicted model, not a curated record
GAAAAACCUCAUCGCUGUUCAGAAUGUGGAAAGUCGUUCUCAAUGAGAAGCAAUCUUCAGAGGCACAGAAUAAUCCACACAGGAGAAAAACCUCAUUGCUGUUCAGAAUGUGGUAAGUCGUUCUCAAGGAGAAGCAGUCUUCAGUACCAUAGCAUAAUCCACACAGGAAAAAAACCUCAUUGUAGUUCAGAAUGUGGUACGUCGUUCUCAUAAAAAGGUGAUCUUAUGAUUCACAGAAGAAUCCACACAGGAGCAAAACCUCAUUGUUGUCAAGAAUGUGGCAAACAGUUUUCUGACAAACACAGUUUUCAAAGGCACACGCAAAUUCAUACUGGAGAGAAGCCAUAUUGCUGUGCUCAAUGUGGAAAAAGGUAUUUCUACAUUUCCAAUUUACAAAGGCAUGCAAAAGCUCACGUUGCUUGUGUCAAGCACUUCUCAGACAGCAAGACUCUUAAAGACCACAUGAGAAUUCACUAGGGCGAGAUACCCCAUUGCUGUCCAGAAUGUGGCAAACGAUUCUCAAGUCAAAACACGCUUAAGAGCCACAGAAGGAUCCAUACUGGAGAGAAGCAGUACACGUGUUCUGAAUGUGGUAAAGGGUACUCUUCCAGAAAAAAAUUUUCAGAGAUGCACACAAAGUCAUAUUUGAGUAAAGCCUGUCCCAGAAAUGAGAAAUCAUCUUUCUAUUGGGUCCUCAACCAAAAAAAUAAAGAAAAAUAUUCUGAAUGAGGUUAGGACUCCAGUUUAAAGUAUUUAAUAAGUACAUAAGAAUAGUGGAGAAAACAUGGGAACUAGCAAACAGAUCCUAUAUUUAAGGUCACCUCAGAGCCACAUAUGAAUACACUCUGGAAUACAACACCUAUUUCACAAACAGCAAGAAUCUUCUUCAACAACUUAUAGAUGCAAGAAAAAUGUCAUUGAAAAGAAUUAACAUUUAGGACAACAGACAGCAGAGGUCUUCAUUUUCAUAAAUGACUAGCUUACUUGUGGUAAGCAUCUUAGCUGUUCUGAAUGUUGAAAGUGGUCCUCCUGUAUCAGCCGUCAUCAGCAACACGUAAGAUUUCAUAAAGGACUCAGAAAUUGUACUGCCAUUAUGUCAGCCAUACAGGGACUGAUCAUCUCUGCACCGGUGCUGUGACAUAAGAUGGUGAACAAUACAAACACCAGAUAACAGAAUGAGGUAGCAACAGAACUGUGUGGGGAUAACAACUUCAACCACAGAACACAACUGAAAAAGUUCAAUGUAAUAAUAAAAAAUGGAGAAGUGAAAUCAAAUCCACAGUGCAGUGCCAACUACCAGGAGGUGCCACUGACAACAAGAGGAAUAUUUUUGUUUCAGUGCUUUGCAGAUGUGGCCUUAUCUGAGUAGCAAUGAACUUGUACCGUCUCUGGGAUGUCAUCUGAUGGCUGACGCCUGGGCUGAGUGCAGACAGCCGUUCUUAACCCUGAUAAUGAAGAAGUCAUUUAGUGAUGUCAGCUGACAGCCAAUGCUGUCCGAUCAAAUACUGGGGAGGGACAGUCGAGGAGGACAGGACACUAAAAAGAGAGCCGUCACAUGACAGACCAAAGUAGAGGGGCUUUAUAAGACUUUUACACUAAUUUAGGUUAUCAUUUAUAAAUUAUGAGAGUCUUUACAAACCAAACACAUUCAUCAGCUGUGUGUCAAGGGUGAGUCCAAAAGUGGGAAUUUAAGAAGAUCGAAAUACAAAUAAAAUGAAACAUUCAGGGUUCAAAGAGAAAUGUUUAAGACCUGAAGAGGGAGUCACAACAGUAUGCUAGGGUUAGCACAGGGGAC